AUCUAGAAGGCACAGUGGAUAGAGUGCCAGCAUUGGAAUCUGGAAGACAGAAGUUCAAAUCUUUCUUUAGACA
Molecule: transfer RNA, 73 nt
Filed under: Monodelphis domestica (gray short-tailed opossum)
Lineage: Eukaryota; Metazoa; Chordata; Mammalia; Didelphimorphia; Didelphidae
Rfam family: tRNA
About the family: Transfer RNA (tRNA) molecules are approximately 80 nucleotides in length. Their secondary structure includes four short double-helical elements and three loops (D, anti-codon, and T loops). Further hydrogen bonds mediate the characteristic L-shaped molecular structure. tRNAs have two regions of fundamental functional importance: the anti-codon, which is responsible for specific mRNA codon recognition, and the 3' end, to which the tRNAs corresponding amino acid is attached (by aminoacyl-tRNA synthetases). tRNAs cope with the degeneracy of the genetic code in two manners: having more than one tRNA (with a specific anti-codon) for a particular amino acid; and 'wobble' base-pairing, i.e. permitting non-standard base-pairing at the 3rd anti-codon position.
Source: Rfam by way of RNAcentral